UCCUGGGAGUGUAGCUCAGUGGCAGAAUGCUUGCCUAGUAUGCAAAAGGCCCUGGGUUCAAUUCCCAGUACGGGAA
This is a non-coding RNA of Peromyscus californicus insignis, 76 nucleotides long. Lineage: Eukaryota; Metazoa; Chordata; Mammalia; Rodentia; Cricetidae. The record is from the annotation of a RefSeq genome assembly.